AAAUAAUAAAAAUUUACUUAUUAGUGAAGAGGCUAAUAUUUAAUUAAAAGACAAGAAGACCCUAUAGAGCUUAACUCCUAUCUUGUAAAAAGAAAAAGAGAUUUUGUUGGGGUGACAGGGGAAGAUAUCUAUCUUCCUUUUUAUUAAAGGCCAAUUAGCCUCUUUCCAUACCCUUUAAAAAGGAUUAAAGAAAGCUACCUUAGGGAUAACAGGCUAAUUCCCCCUAAGAGUCCUAAUCGACGGGGGAGCUUGGCACCUCGAUGUUGGCUUAAGGUCCCUAAAUUGCGCAAAAGUAAUUUCAGGUGGUUUGUUCAACCAUUAAACCCUU
Molecule: ribosomal RNA, 328 nt
Filed under: Amblyosyllis ovei
Lineage: Eukaryota; Metazoa; Annelida; Polychaeta; Phyllodocida; Syllidae
Description: partial 16S ribosomal RNA
Rfam family: Bacterial large subunit ribosomal RNA
Source: RNAcentral